UCUGUUGAGCGCUGAGGACGAUGAUGAACACGAUGAUGGUGAUGUUGAUGUUGUUGGGUUCGUGAUGAACGAUGUUGAACGAUUUUAGAUGAAUGAGUUGAGUUGGUUGAAGAUCUAUGAAGAUGAUGACGAAAGCUACGAAUCUGAAUCUCGGAUCCGACCCUUCCACGGGAUUAGGGUUUCAGGAGAUCUCGGUCGCAAGUUCUUUUCCAAUAUGUUUUGUUUUCUGCA
Molecule: long non-coding RNA, 231 nt
Organism: Vicia villosa (hairy vetch)
Lineage: Eukaryota; Viridiplantae; Streptophyta; Magnoliopsida; Fabales; Fabaceae
Exons: 3
Source: RefSeq, a predicted model, not a curated record